CCUACGGGAGGCUGCAGUAAGGGAUAUUGCACAAUGGGGGAAACCCUGAUGCAGCAACGCCGCGUGGGUGAAGAAGGCUUUCGAGUCGUAAAACCCUUUUCUAGGGGAAGAGGAAGGACAGUACCCUAGGAACAAGUCUCGGCUAACUACGUGCCAGCAGCCGCGGUAAGACGUAGGAGGCGAGCGUUAUCCGGAUUCAUUGGGCGUAAAGGGCAAGUAGGCGGUUGUCAAAGUUGGGCGUGACAUCUCCUGGCUCAACUAGGAGAGGUCGUUCAAAACUAGGCAACUAGAGGGCAGAAGAGGAAAGCGGAACUCCUGAUGUAGCGGUGGAAUGCUCAGAUAUCAGGAAGAACACCAGUGGCGAAGGCGGCUUUCUGGUCUGCACCUGACGCUGAGAGGCGAAGGCUAGGGUAGCGAACGGGCUUAGAUACCCCGGUAGUC
Molecule: ribosomal RNA, 441 nt
Filed under: uncultured bacterium
Lineage: Bacteria
Description: bacterial SSU rRNA
Rfam family: Bacterial small subunit ribosomal RNA
Source: RNAcentral